GCGGGGCCCAUGUUUGUCAACU
This 22-nucleotide microRNA is filed under the name Spodoptera frugiperda (fall armyworm). Its description in RNAcentral is "sfr-miR-10487-5p". Lineage: Eukaryota; Metazoa; Arthropoda; Insecta; Lepidoptera; Noctuidae. The record is from miRBase by way of RNAcentral.